UAAAACGUAGGAGACAAACGUUAUCCGGAGUUACUGGGCGUAAACGGGCGUGCAGGGUGGUGGGUUAAGUCUGGCGUGAAAGCUCGCGGCUAAACCGCGAGAGGUCGUUGGAUACUGGCCGACUAGAGGACGGUAGAGGCGAGUGGAAUUCCGGGUGUAGUGGUGAAAUGCGUAGAGAUCCGGAGGAACACCAGUGGCGAAGGCGACUCGCUGGGCCGUACCUGACACUCAAACGCGACAGCAUGGGGAGCGAACGGGAUUAGAAACCCCGGUAGUCCAUGCCGUAAACGAUGCCAGCUAGAUGUUCAAGACGCGCAAGCGGCUGGGGUAUCGAAGCCAACGCGGUAAGCUGGCCGCCUGGGGAGUACGGUCGCAAGGCU
Molecule: ribosomal RNA, 380 nt
Filed under: uncultured bacterium
Lineage: Bacteria
Description: bacterial SSU rRNA
Rfam family: Bacterial small subunit ribosomal RNA
Source: RNAcentral